AUGUCUAACCAGUGCAAACCUUAGCCAUCCAUAUUAAAGCGGAGAAUUCCUCUCUUUGGUAUUCACAAGCAUAACAUACAUAAUCCUUUAUCGCUGGCAAAGCUAUUAGCUUUUUGGCCUUUGGCUGGUCGAUGUAUGCAUUAUCUAUAGUUAUUGCAUGCAAGUGUUCUCAACUGACUUGCAAACCCUUUGAUCAAACCAGCUAAACUUGAUUUUCCAGAUGAUUCAAGAGACAAGGCACACAUCUCUCAGCUUUACAAGUCCUGGCAAGCAGUCAAGACCCCAUGCUCCCCCACUCCCUUCAUCGGAAUCAAAGAACCUCAGGAUCGUCAUCACCCCUUCCUUCAUCCACUUCUUGCUUUGUCGAGGCCACCGUCCUGAUGACUUCACUUUGGCAGAAUUGCUUGAAGUUGCCAUCCGUGCCUGCCUUUGAAAUGUGUGCAGUUCGUAGUAGAGAGGCAACAAACACAAAUCAAAGUGUUUUCCUUUUUUUCAGUUCGAUCCUUUGUGUUUUCGUAGUUGGAGCAGUGAUGUCCAGGUCUUGAUGUGAACAGUGACCUGGAUGCUUGGUUGCAUCACCUGUGAGCUCCCUGUUCGCUCUUAUUUGGCACAGCAGAGCAAGUUGGUUGAGAGCUGCCUCUCCCACUGGGACCAG
Molecule: non-coding RNA, 655 nt
Organism: Vicugna pacos (alpaca)
Lineage: Eukaryota; Metazoa; Chordata; Mammalia; Artiodactyla; Camelidae
Source: RefSeq, a predicted model, not a curated record